AGAACACUGCUGCUUUGUGGAACAAAGCUGACCCUGACAUAAGAUAAAUCCAGAUACCACUGUUACUGUUUGAGUCAACAGGACAUCUUGACUUUUGCAGAAUGUGCAUUCCACUUCAGAGUUACAACUACGUGAAAGCUUUAAGAUAACCACAACAACAAAAACAAAAGUGUGGCAUCAAAUUGAAUCUGACCUUCUGGCAGUGAGAAUGGAACAAAAUCUUUCCUUCAAAUCCCUCUGGUAUUUGGUGAAUCUUCUCAUCCUAAAGAGCUGACUCUUAUUGAUUACUUUUGUGUUAUAAAAGAAAUAUCAUAUCUGAAAUGCUUUUUAUAAUAAAAGUCUGGAGAUUCUCAGCUACUUUGCUGAGAAGAAUUCUAA
Long non-coding RNA from Symphalangus syndactylus (siamang), 378 nucleotides. RefSeq lists it as uncharacterized. The record is from RefSeq and is a predicted model, not a curated record. NCBI's taxonomy places the organism in Eukaryota, Metazoa, Chordata, Mammalia, Primates, Hylobatidae.